Molecule: long non-coding RNA, 35537 nt
Organism: Heterocephalus glaber (naked mole-rat)
Lineage: Eukaryota; Metazoa; Chordata; Mammalia; Rodentia; Bathyergidae
Source: Ensembl
GAUGCAACCAGAGGCUCUGAGUUCCUUCUCCAACGAAACAAAAGCCAAAAAAUAAACAAAAUAAAAUCAAAUGACAUAAAAAUGCUGCAGUCAACAACCUGCCAGUCUGGCCUUAUUGUGCCAUAGGUUAGAUAGCAUGUUCUGUCACUCAGGACCCAGGGCACAGCCUGAAUCUCUGUCCAAUCAGCGACCCUGGCCUGAGAACUGCCCAAUCAGGCCUUCAGCCGGAGAGGAGGGGGCGGGCUUUCCCAUCGCAGAGGCCUUCAUCUCCGGAGCUGUCCGGUCUGGGAUCGAUAGUGAUAGUCUGGCACCCGCUCCUUUGCUCUAGAACCCCUGGGGGCUGUAAUGCAGCCCUUUUGCUCCGUGACCUGCAGAAGCUGGGAGAUCCCUAGAGAGACACUCCAGAAGCCAAGACAUGGGUUGGGGGAGACAGCAGGAGUGAAUCAAACAGGAUUCACAGGCUGAUGAUCUUGCACGUCCAGCACUACCUUCUAUAGCUGUCUUCUCAGCAGGCUCACAGUCCACCUCAAACUCAUCAUACAUGAACUGCCGAGUCAAAGAAGACUUGCCCACCCUAUUGUGCCCACCAUGAUGACUUUGCUCCAGGCCAGACAAUUCUAACCCUUAGGCUUUUUGUGGCUGUCUUGUGUCACUGAGUUUUCACCAGAGGAUUAAGAAGACAUGGCACUGCUGGCCGGUUCACUGCCCCGUGUGUUUCCAAAGCCACAGCUGAGAAAAUCCACUUAAAGGAAGAAAUUUUGGGCUCAUGCUUUCAGAGAUUUGAGUUGGCUCUGGAGAGACAGCACAUCACUGUGAAAGUGCAUAUUGGUGAACAACUGCUCACCUCGUGGCAGCCAGAACGCAAAGGGAACACAAAGGAUUGUGACAAAAUAAACACCUGAAGCCGUGCCGCCAGUAUCUAUUCCUUCCAACUAUGCUCCAUUUCCUAAAGUUCCACCACCUGACAAUAGCCCAUAUAAGUAUGAAUCCAGUCUGGAAAAUCUGGUCAGAGCCCUUGUGACACAAUCACCAGCCGAAGACCCCAGCUCCCAGCAGUGUUGCUCCAACACAUGACAUUUGAGGGUACGAUUCAGAUCCAAACCAUGAGAGUUUUCACAGGGAGACCUCCCAUAGCGAAUUCUUGUCAUGUCAUGAGAAAGCAGUGAUUAAUAACAGCAAAGGUUCGAAAGUAGAUCUGUCAGAUCCUGUUUCACACUCAUAGAGGGGUCUUUACACAAAUUUUCAUUACGAAGUUAUUUAAAAUUCAGUAAUUCACUCACCAAAUAUAGCUUGUUUUUGUAGAUUACUGUUAAAAUCAAAUUAAUUGAAUUUAAUUCUGUUAAAAUUUUAACUGGGGCCAGGCAUUUAGCUCAGUGGUUUCGCCGCCGGCUGCGCAACUGCAAGGACCUGAGUUCGAUCCCCUGUACCAAAGAAAAACAAAAUUUUAACUCAAUUUUCUUAUAAAAGUAAAAUUCAUUUGACAUUGUGGUAUUUAAAUUCAAUUGAAAUUUACAUAAUUUAUCUUUUAAUUUUUUAUUAGUACAUGCUUGUGAUAUAUAAUGAAUACGUUUGUCAUGGAUAAUUGGUACAUAUACACAUCACAUCUUAAUCUCUUUUACUUUUCCUUCCUCCUCCCUCCUUCUCCUUUCCUUCCAUCCCUAUAUCCCCUUCUCAUCUGCAAAAGUUCUGCCUCUCUGUUUCCUAUCAUCUCUUUUAUUUUUUAUUUUAAAUUACUUACACUUUGGGUUUCUCAUAUAAGAGAAACCAUGCAAUAUUCAACUUGUAUCUGAUGUAUUUCACUUAGCAUUAUGGAUUUUGGAUCAUUAGCAAGGUGAAUUUUCCUAUUCAUGACUCAAAUUUAUCCUUUUUAUGCCUGAGUAAUACUCCAUUGUGUAUACACACCAAAUUUCAUUUAUCUAUUCAUGGGUUGAUGGACAGAUAGACCAUAUCCAAGAAUUAUCUAGAAACAUGGUGUUAUAGAAUUAGGUAUAAACAUGGGUCUGCAUGUAUGACUGUAAUAUGUUUUUAACUCUUUGGUAAAGAUCCUCAGAAGGGCUGUAUCUAGGUAAAAUGGAAUUUCUAUUUUUAGUUUUUUGAGGAAUUUUCAUACUGAUUUCCACAGUGGUUGUACUAGUUUAUAUUCCCACCAACAGUGUAGAAGAGGUUCUUUUUCCCCACAACCAUCCCAGCAUUUGCAGUAUUUUCAGUUUGUGAUGAUAGCCAUUCUUUGUGGAGUAAGAUGGAAUCUCAGUGUUUUUUUAAUUUGCACUUCUCCAGUAGCCAAAGAUGCUAAACAUUUUUUCAUUUACUGGUCAUUUGUAUUUAUUGGUCAUUCUUCUUCUGAGAAGUGUCUGUACAUUUUAAUAGUCCAUUUUUUUUUGACUGGAUCGUUUAUUUUGAGAGGUCUAAUUUCUUUUCUUUCUUUUUAUUUUUUUGAGACAGAGUCUUGCUAUGUAGUUUAGGCAGGCCUUGAGCUCACUGUGUAGCUCAGGCUGGCCUCAAAGUUGCACUUGUCUCCAGAAUGCUGAGAUUACAGGUGUGCCAUCCAGCUUUUAGUUCUUUAUGUAGUCUAGAUAUUAGUCCUCAGUCCAAGGAGUAGCUGGCAAAACAUUUUUCUAUUGUGUAGGUUGUCUCUUCACUCUGUUGGUUUUUUCCUUUGUUGUGCAGAAGCAUUUUAAUAUAUUUAAAUUUGUCCCUAUUUGUUGAGUCUUGGUGUUAUUUCUUGUGCAAUUGGAAUUCUAUUCAAAGAGUUCUUGCCUAUGCCUAUGUCUUCAAGAGUUUUACCUAUAUUAUCUUUCAGCAGAUUCAGUAUUUGUGUGGGGAUUUUUGGUACUGAGGAUCAAACUUGGGACCUUGUGCUUGCAAGGCAGGUGGCGGAACCACUGAGCUAAAUCCCUGGCCCAAUAUUUAUAUUUUAAUAUUUAGGAUUUUGACUCAUUUUUAUUUUUAUUUUAGUACAAGGUGAGAGAUAUGGUUCUAGGUUCAUUUUUCUGCAUGUAGAUAACCAAUUUCUCCAGCAACAUUUGUUAAAGAGUCAUUUUUCCAGCAUAUGCUUUUGGCCCAUUUGUCAAAGAUCAGAUGGCUAAAUGUGCCUGGAGUUGUUUUUAUAACCUCUGUUCUGUUCCCUUGAUCCACUGAACUGCAUGUCUGUUUUUGUGCCAGUAUCAUGCUGUUUUUAUCAUUGUAAUUUUGUAAUAUAGCUUGAAAUCUACAUUUGUGAUGCCUCUUGCUUUGCUCUUAUUGCCAAGGAUUGUUUUUGCUAUUCUGCAUCUCUUCAGCUUCUAUAUAAAUUUUAGAGUUUUUUUCUAGUACUGUGAGGAAUGCUAUUAGUAUUUUGAUUGCAAUAGGCAAUAUGGCUAUUUUUUUUUUUUUUUUUUUUGGUACCGGGGAUCAAACUCGUGUCCUUGCACUUGUGAGGCAGGCAGUGGAACCACUGAGCUAAAUCCCCAGCCCAGCAAUAUGGCUAUUUUGAUGAUAUUGGUUCUGCAUAUUCAGGAACAGAGGGUAUCAUUCCAUUUUUUUAUGUUCUCUUCAAUCUCCUUUUCAGAUUACUAUAGUUUUUUACUUCCUUGUUUAGUUUAAUGCGUAAGGAUUUAAUUUUUUGAAUCUACUGUGAAAAGAAUUGCUUUCCUAAUUCCUUUCUCAGUUGGUUGAUUGUUAGUGUACAGGAAUGUAUUGAGUUUUGUGUGUUUAUUUACUUUGUAUUCUUGUACUUUGCUAAAUUUGUUUAUUAGGCGUAAGAGUCUUUCUGUGGAGUUUUCUUUAUGGGGAAGGUAUACUGUGGAGAAGAUCAUGUCAUCUGUGAAUAAGGGUAGUUUGACUUCUUCAUUUCCUGUAUGUAUCGCUUUUAUUUCUUUUUCUUCCCAGAUAACUAUGACUACAUUUUUGAUUACUAUAUUUAAUGGGAGUGGUGAAAGUGGACACCCUUGUAGUGUUCUUGCUAGUAGAGAAAAAGCUUUAAGUUUUUCCCCAUUUAGUGUGAUGUUGACAGUGGAUUUGUCGUAAACAUCUUGUCAGUUUGAGAUUUGUUCCUUCCAUACAUAUUUUCAUUAGAAUUUUAUCAUGAAUGGAUGUUGCAUCUUGUCAAUGACUUUUUCUCCAUCUAUUUAGAUGAUUAUGUGAUUUUUGUCCUUGCUUCUGUUUAUGACGUAUUGGACUUGUUGCUUUGUGUAUAUUGAGACAAGGUUAUGUAUACUGAACCUUGCAUCCCCGGCAUGAAGCCAACUCAGUCAUGCUGUAUGAUCUUUUUAAUGGUUUGUUGCAUUCAGUUUGCCAGUAUCUUGUUAAGGACUUUUGCAUCCCUGUUUAUGAAGGAGAUUGGAUUGGGUUUCUUCCUUUUCUCUUUCUUUCUUUUUUUCUCUCUCUUUUCCCUUCCUUCCUUCCUUCCUUCCUUCUUUUCCUUCCUUCCUUUUUUCUUGUCCUUAUCAGGUUUUGACAACAAGGUCACAUUAGCUUGCAAGAAUGAGUUUGGCAGCAGUCUUUCCCUUUCAAUUUCAUUGGAGGUUUUUGGGGUUUUUUUGGUACUGGGGAUCGAACUUGGGUCCUUGUGCUUGCGCAGCAGGCGGCGAGACCACUGAGCUAAAUCCCCGGCCCCCUCAUUGGAGGUUUUAAGGAGUAAUGGUGUUUGAUUGUCCCUGAAGUUGUGGUAUAAUUCUUCAGUUGGUUUUUCUUUAUUGGUAGAAUUUUUAUUACUGCCUCUAUUUCAGUGCCUAUUAUGAGUCUAUUUGGAGUUUUUAUAUCUUCUUGCUUUAAUUUUGGUAAUUCAUACAUGUCUAGAAAUUUAUCCAUUUCUUCUAGGUUCUUCAGUUUACAGGAAUAUAAAUUUUUGUAGUAGUUUCAUAUAAUCCUGUGGAUUUCAGCACUGUUAAUUGUAACUUGUCCUUUUUAUUUCUAAUUGCCUUGAUAUGGAUUUUUCUUUCAUUUCUUGGUAACAUUGGCUAAGGGUUUAUUAAUCUUGGUUAUCUUUUUAAAGAAUCAACUCUGAUUCAUUGAUCCUUUGUACUUUUUUUUGUCUCAGUUGUAUUAAUUUCCACUCUAAUCUUUGUAAUUUCCUUUCAUCUACUAAUUUCAGAUUUUAACUGCUAUUAUUUUUCUAAGAUCUUGAGAUGCAGCAGUAGGUUAUUCGGGAUUGCUCAGUUUUUUACUACUUUUAUGCUGCAGAUUGAAGAUCAGUUAGGAUAGAAAAUCUCUGUCACUGCUGUGGAGAUCUUUGUAGUUAGAGACUGUUUCCCUGUGAUGUGUCUUUGUGCUUGGUUAUGUUUUGGAAUUUAUAUCCCUCUUCACCUUACUUAGCAUAUAAUUUGAUAGCCUUCUUAGUAGCUACAGUUCUUGAGUCUUGAUCCCCACCACCACAUAGAGAGGAGAGAAUGAGCCACAGUAAUAUUGAUAACACAAAGACAAACUAGAUAUUAACAUUCAGUGAAAGUCAAUGAACAGCAACAAAUAUGCCAUGACUGGCAAUAGCAAAGAAAUCAGCAAUACUAAUAGAAUCCAAGAUAAAUUGGAUAUUGACAUACCAUAAACAUCAAUAAGAGCUACAACUAUUCCACACUUAACUAUAAAAAAAGAGAUCCACAUUAGUUAUAUAAACACAAAGACAAACCAAAUAUUGACAUGUAAUAAAUAUAUACUAAAUACAACUACUAUAACAUUACUAAUAAUAGAAAAGAAUUCAGCAAUAAUAGCAUAUAGUCAACCAAAUGUCAAAAAAUUAAUGAAGCAUAAUACUAGUAAUAAUAAAAUGGAGAGGAUGCUGAAAGGAAAACAAAAAAAAUGAAAUUUGUAAAAGAAAGAAAAGAAAAAUGAGGAGGAAGAGGAAAAAGUGAGACAAAGAAUAAAAGAAAGUUAAUUGAAUUAAGUAAAAGUAAUAGAAAAAGCAAACAAGAAAAAAAAAAGCCAAAAAGAAAAAGACUAAGCACAGCAAAAGGAAGGAGAAAGAAAAAAAGAAGAAAAAGUUUGCAAAACAAAGAAAAAGAAAAAAUAAAUCCAAAAAAUUUCUUUCUAUAAUUGGGUGAGUGGAUUCUUUCCAGGGCACAUAGGCUUGGAACCCAUCUAUGGCGAACGGAUAGUGCAUCUCAACCAGUGCUUAUUUUAUCUCCACACCCGCUUCUUUUGUAUGUGUGUGUGCUGAGUCCUGCCCUGCCUUUCCUGCUGGGUGGGGUAUCUGCCUUAGGGCUGUAUUCACUCCAGCAGCUAAUCACCACCUAGCUUUUUUUUUUGGCAUCCUCCAUAUUUAUAUAUUUAUAUUAAUAUUAUAUUGUACUACUGUGCAUUACAUAACAAAAAAUGAAAUCCUAAGAUAAUAUAAAAAUGAACAACUUUCUCGCAGAUAAUCGGCUAACAUCUCAAAAUGACAUAUAUUCAGGGUAACACUGAAUGACAGUGUUAAAUUUAAAUUUCAAAUCAUCAUAUCUGCUCUUCAGCCAUGCAGAAAGUACUGAUGCAUGCUACAAGCCCUGAAAAUAGUAUGCUAAAAGCAAGAGGCCAGACACAAAAGGCCGCAUAUUACCUGACUCCAUUUACAGGAAACACACAACCGGAAAAAUCCAUAGAGACAGGAAGUAGACUGGUGGCCCUCAGUAGCAGGAGGAAUGGAGGGAGACACCUCUGGGUGCCAGAGGUGUGGGGUUUCUUUUUGGGGUGAUAAAAAUGUUCUGAAAAUAAACACAAGUAAUGGGUGCAUGUCGUGAGCAUACUGAAAAGCACUGGAUCACAUACUUUUCGAAAGAGUGAAUGUUACAGUCUUUUAGUUACAUCUCAAUUUUUCUUUUUUUUAAAAAAAAAGUAUCAAUAAAUAAGCUAAGGGAAAUACAUCACAUCUCCUUGGCCCAUUAUGGUUUCAUCUCACAAUGCACUGGCCAUUCCCUUGCUGUUUGCUUGGCCUUAUAUUAAUAAUCUGGAGUUUUCCCUGCCAGAAUCUUUUAAAGCCACCUGCUGUCUUUAUGAUGUUAGUUUAGUUAAGUAACAUCCUUAAAGCCAGUCACGUGGACACUCAUAAACCACAGUCUGCCUUUCAGCACACUGCAAAUCAAUCAUGGUAGAACUGGGCUCCUUCCGCAGCAGGCUCCGAGAACCGGCCUGGGGCACGCCUACCUGUUCCCCGAGGGCUGGUCCCCUGCUCAUCCUCCACACUCUCAGUAAGAUGGAAACUGCACGAAUUUUGGAAAUGAAAACAUGGAGAGAUCCUCCAGACUCUUCCAGUCCCCCAGGGGUGACCCUGCAGACUCUGCCAUGGGUCACGGGCCGUUCUGCACCCUGGAAUCACCCGGUUCACCCUUGAAAGCUUCAGGUCUGGGCGCAACUCCCCAGGGCUUCUGACUCUGGCCGAGACCUGACCCUGUGCAGCAGAUGCCAUGCUUUAGGAAAGAGUGCUGCAAAUCACUGGCCGGUGAAAGGUCGGGGAGCGGGGAAAGGCACAGGGCACACUCUAAGACGAGCUGGCUCUGAUGGUUCCACUCUAAACGCGCUAGAAAAAAAAUCUCUGAACUGUGUACUUAUCAGGGCUAGGGUUUUAUUUAAUUAAUUUAUUUAUUUAUUUUUGCUUAAAUUCUUUUAUUGGUACAUUUUAGGUAUACAGUACAUUUACAUUUAUCAUUGGGUGCUUGUACCUGUACAUGAGUAUCUUGGUUCUUAUUUUUUCCCCAUUUCCUGUGCCCCCUUCACCCCCUCCACAUUUUGUUUCCAUUUUUUCCUUUUCUCAUAAUUUUUCCUUUCCCUUCUUUCCUUUCCCCAUCCCCUGCCACUUUCCCUACACUUUUGGACCUUUUCCUGUUUCAAUUAUCAAUUAUUCGUUUUAAUCGUUUUAAUCCUUAUUUACACUUUCAGUUUCUCACACUAGAGAAUCUAUUCGGUAUUUACACAUGUGUGUCCUAUUUAUUGCACUGAAGAGUAUGGCCUCAACGUGCAUCCGUUUAGCUAUACAUUUCUCUAGUUUGUCAUUCUUUAUGGCUGAGUAGUACUCCAUUUUAUUAAAAAAAAAAACCCACAUCUUCUUUAUCCAGUUUCCAGUUGAUGAGCACUUGGACUGUUUCCAAGCUUUAGCUAUUACAAACUGUCCCGCUAUAAACAUGGGUGCACAUGUAUCGCUGUGGUAUGAUUCUUUUAAUUCUUUUGGGAAGAUACCCAGCAGGGGAAUAGCUGGGUCAAAUGGGACCUCUAGUCCUAGUUCUUUGAGGUAUCUCCAUACUGAUUUCCACAGUGGUUGCCCCAGUCUGCACUCCCACCAACAAUGGAGAAGGCUUCCUUUCUCCCCACACCCCUGCCAGCAUUUGUUAUUGGUUGAUUUUUUGAUAGCAUAGCAGCCAUUCUUUCUGGGGUGAGGUGGAAUCUCAGUGUUGUUUUCACCUGCAUCUCUUGAAUGACCAGUGAGGUUGAACAUUUUUUUGUAUGUUUAUUUGCUGCUUUUACUUCUUUGUCUGAGAAAUGUCUGUUCAUUUCAGAUAGGGCUAGGGUUUUUUAAAGCUAUUAAAAACUAUGAAAAAGUCCUCAUAUGUCUCAUCGCAGGAGCAGCCAUGUGCUCCCCAAAGGACCUGUAGAUGUCCAGGGAGGAAGACGCACAUGGCCUCACGCAGACCUCGCCCACAACCUUGAACCUCACUGCCUGCGACCCAAGACCAAGGCGACCUCCAUUUAUGAGCUUCCGCCAGGAAGGAGAGUGAGACAGAGUUCAUGACAAGACGUGUCAUUUUCUGACUUUUAACACUUUACACAGUGUUAACUGUGCGCAACUGAAAAUGAACCAUAAACACUGAAAUAAUAGACAAAUUCCCCGAGACACAGUGGCUUCUGUAAAUAUCACAAGCUCUUAAAAAUCCCACCAACACAGGCCAGGGCACCUCUCUGCCAGACACCCCAUGUGGGAAGCUGUCUGGCAUAAUCCCAGGGGAGGCCUGCCGUCCGUCAGACGGAGAGGGCUUGUCCAUCACAGUCAGACACAGGCCCCACAGAGGAGCAAGGAUGGGGCCAGGGCUGCUGGCUGGGAAGAAGGGGCUUCUCCAAGACAGAAAGGUGCUGUCUCGCUGCCCUGAACUCGGGAUCUGGAAGGGGACACAGCUCACACCUCUGAGCCCACAGGGCAAGCAGGGAAGAGAAGGGAACCAGUGCAGGUGAUCAGGCACAGGAGAGGGUCGGCUUCACCGAGCAGGGAGAGGGCGUGAAGACAAAUGGCUGGACUGGUGAUCUGGUGGCAGCAGGCACUGCUCUCCACCUAGGUUUACAGCCUGUGGUCUUGUGAGGUGACCCCUUUGCUCCAGAGGCCCCUCUGUCUCUACAUCCCAGGAUAGGACAACUGUCCAAGCUGAGGUGUAUUCGUCACAUUGGCAGACCAGGAAAGCAAAUAGACCACUGAGCUCUGUGUUGGACAUAGGCAGCAAAGGAGGAGCGUCUGGAGCAGUCUGCUGGACUUAAUAACAGCAAUUUCGACCCAGACCCCUCAGAAAUCCACAUACAACUGGCCCAGCUUUUCUCCACAGAAGAUAGGACCACUGUAUCCUUCCUGGCCUGACCUCAGCACUCCUUAAACUUGCGAGGCGUCUAUGCCUAGUCUGCCUCUGCUCUAUGACUGUCUCUUGUGGUCUGUCCCCAUCUCUUAGCCAGUAAUCAUGGUAGGGUGACCCCAGAAACCCUGAAGUGUAGUUGUUCUGUAACUUCUGAUUCCUGAAGUAGCUCAGUCUUAAAUAAUUAACCCCUCCCCAAAAUGGCUCCUGAUUUAUUACUCUGAAAUGUGGCUGCUGUAAUGGAUUUCUCCUCCAACUCUAGCCUGCCAUGUGAAAGGAGUCACUUUCAGAGUAAGAUUUCACACCCUAUUCAGUUUACAAUAACAAUGUGCUUUUCUUGCUUGGGGCUAGUGCUACCAGUCUGUUGUUUCUCCCUUGAUCUGCCAACAGUUUCUGGUUUAUCUUGUGUUUGUGGAGAUGAGUCUGGCUCCUCAGGAGCCAUAGUUGGUGUUCAGAUUGCUUUGGGGUUGAGGAAGCAUUGUCUUCAGUUUUUACAUGAUUUCUAGUUUUCUUUUUAGCUCUUUCUUGAUUUCUGGAGCUCUUCUUCCUUUUCUCUUUGAAAAGUUGUUGUUUUCCUGGUGUUUGGAUUCCAGGUCCUGAUAUGCUUCCAGCCUUUACUCUGUCAUCUUCUUAUCAGAAAUUUGUGAAAUUUUGACACAUCAAAAAUUUUGUUACCACCCAAUAUUAUUUGAGACUCCAUUUUAUAUAUAGAUAACACAGCUUGGGAAACACUGAUUCACCAGAUACACUUCCCCCCAUCUUUUCUACUCUCUCAGUGUUGAGUCAACUAAGUCAAAUGAGAAUAAAGCUCAUUUCCUAAUAUAGAAGUCUCUUUACUGGGAAAGCCCUUCAGAGGAGAACUGUACCUUAGUGAGACAUGGCCUAAAUCCCAUUCAGUUAAGGUUGUGAGUUCUCACUUCUCAGCCAGUAGGGUUGAGAUACCAAUUUUUAACAUGGAAAUUCACUAUUUGACUUAGUUACUUUUCUUGUUGCUGAAACAAAAUUACCGACAUCCAUAAGUUAAAGGAAGAAAGGUUUAUUUAGCUCACAAUUUGUUAAUGUUUCAGUCCAUAGGUGGCUGGCACCAAGGCAGGGUGGCUUGGCAGAGGGGCAUUUCAGAGGAGAAACAGUUCAUGGCAUGGCAGGGAAGGCAACUGGCAGCAAGCAGCAAGAAAUAACAGCAGGACCAGACCACAUCUCCCUUUUAUCCCUUUCAGACUACCUGCUUUUUGGGUGGUGACACCUACACCCAGGGUUGACCUUCCCAUUAUCCAUACCCAGAACUAUGCUAAAUCCAUCAGUGGACUGAUUUAGUAAUCACACAUCCUUAAUUCCAGUAUCGUGCCCUCAAUCCCAGGAUCACACCUUUAAUGUACACUCACACACUUAAGAUCUACCACCUCCAAAAAACCCCACCUAUGACUGGAUGAAGCGUUGGGGGGACUUCUAGAAACAAGUCGUAAUACCACCCUUUAUCCUGUUUAAUCAAGACAGUUCUGAAGGCGUAUUAUUAAAGAGGCCUAGACAGUGGAAGUGAAGGGACACUGUAGACCUUAGUGGGAUGCAGAUGAGGUCUAUAAUGAAGAUUAGAUAUCAGUUCCCAGGAUCUGUGUGUUUUCUUUUGUUCCUGUUUGGGCACUCAGUCAUUUUUAGUGGCAAGGAGGCUAGUGAAUCUGUAUAGCUCCCAGAUUUUAUCUCUGAUUCUCUUUGGAGUAUCAGGACUGAAAGAAGCUAAGUCUCACUAUUUUGGGGAAAUUCUGGAAAGUCUGGUUUAGAUACCUGAAAAGACACUCUUUUCUGGUGCCUGAAUUUUCAGUUUGAAGUCCUAGGCUCAUACAUAUUUAGCAGGCAGAGAAUAGGGUUUGCAUUUACAUCAGGACAUCUUGUGCCAGACGUGCUAGUGGCCCAGGACAAUGCCUUGGUGUCAAGUUAAUCAGAAAAGCAAACAGCAGGUCUGUUGGCUAUCAGGUUGGCAACAAGUGUAGUAUCCUAGCCAAAGAGUUUGGAUUCAGAAUGGGAUAAACCAGUACAUUUAUCUUCUAUCCUUUAAAUAGUCCUUUGAUAAGAGGGAGCUCAGUGUAUCUGUUCAGGUGGGUUGUGUUAGACAGAUUUUAUCUUAGGUUUAUUGACAGCUGACUGACUUAUGAGAAUAGAUGCAGGAGGAUAUGUUCUUGCAUGUAUAGAAGGGCAUCAGGCUUCUAGGAUGAUGUGGGAGAUAAGACAUUCCAAAAAUAUAUUAAGCUAAGCGUGGUAGUAAACACUUAUAAUCCCAGGAAGGUCACAUGGUUGAGGCCAGCCUGAGAAAUUUAAGUGAGAUCUUUCUUAAAAUAAAAAAAUAAAAAUGUUGGGGAUAUAGCACAGUGGUAGAACAACUUGACCCUAACUCUCUUUCUCUCUCAAUCCUGAUUUAUAUAUUUUCAAUCCCCUUUUCAAUGAAGAAUAAUUACACAAUUUAAAACCACACCGAAUCCAUGAAAAUAUUUUAUAGACAAAAUGAAAAUGAUGAUUUCAUACUUUGGUGUCCAGCAAAUUACAAAAUAAUUGUUUUUUGUGUGUGACUAUCAUUUUGAAAAAUGAUGAUUCCUAAUACUGUCCAUUUACAAUCAGUAGAAACAUAGAAAUUUGUUCAUGCUUGUGAAUAGUAUAAAUGAUCAGAGACUCACGAUAUAUGUGGGUUGGCAACAGGCAUGGCAAUCAGCCCAGAUCCUGGUACCCAGAGGAUGCUCCACUUCCUUUUUGGAAAAGCUUGGAUGACUCCCUGUGUGCUGUGUUGAAGGCAGUUUAUCAAGCUAUAGCCUAGGUACAGGCCCAGCAAGUACAUUCCCUGCAAUCCUGGGAGAAGCUAUUUGAACUUGCCCAGUUCUGAGGGCCUGUGUGCCUCAUAGUAUGAUCUUCUAAAUCAAGACCACCCAGGCAGCCUUGUGUCUUCCCUGCUGAGGGCUGGUUUGUCAUAGCUGCUUUUGUCUACUCUCUAGUAUCUAUCCUUGAAUGAGGCAUUAUCUCUCAAAUGAGGCAAUGGGCCCACCCUAAUCUACAAGGAUGAUUUUAAACACAAUGCUAAUAAAUUGCAGAAUGUGAGGUGGUCUUAGGAGAGGAAUUUGAAGUAUAUACUCAAAUGUUACAUGCUAAAUUUAAUGUAGACAUUUGAUAUCUUUUGUAUGUCUGUGCAUAGUCAUGAAUUUCUUCAUGAUCAGGAAUGGAUUAAGGUAUAAUACUCAUGUGUUUGACAAAGAAUGAAUCUGCAGAAAGAGAGCUGAUGUUUGAAGACCAUGGGUGAAUGAAUUCUCGGGUCUUCCAGAUGUUUGUAAAUAGAUGAUGGCCAGGCAUUUUUUUGGAUGCUUGACCCGAAGAGGUGAUAUGUGACCUUCAGAGGGAGGUGGAGGAAAAUGCUUUGCACAAACCCAUCGUGCAUCAUAUUGGCUGGUCGACACAAUCAGGAUAACAAAUCAGGUACUUUCAAAAGACAUUGUGGAUAAAGCUGGAAGUCUGGAGGCCUUUGACUAUCUUUCCCAGUGUCCCAAUAUCAGUAAUAUUGAUACAUCUAAUCCAGCAUGUGACUAUUUUUAUGCUAAUACUUAUAUCAGGUAUGUGCCUACCAUAGUCUUAUUUUGCCACCAGAAACAUGGUUGUAUAUAUAAAUAGCAAGUACAUAUAGACAUGGAUGCAGAUAUAAAUAUAGAUUAAAAAUGGACUUUGUAAAAGCUGAAGGUUAGCAAUUUUGAAUUUGCAACCUUAGUAUUUACAGAAACUGAACACUAGGUGGCAGCCAGUUACCUUCACAUUGGAAACGGAUUCAAUUUUUGUCUUCUCUUUUUCUUAUAUGGGAAAUUUAAGUGUUUCUAUCCUUAUAUAAUGUUUAGUCAUCAACUAUUCUGACAAAAUGAACUAGGGCUGGGCUCAUCAACCAUAUUGAGUUUGCAUACAACUUCAUUUUGUUUUAUUUGUGGUGCUCAGGGCAGAAUCCAGGUCUUGAGUUAUACUAGACAACCACUCCACACUGAGCCACAUGCCCUCCCCCUUACAUGCAAUUUUCAAAAAGUAGAUUUAUCAUGCAGCUCCUUAAACUUUUAUUCUCUUGGUCUCCACAGAACUGUUCAGUAAUGAAGAGUAAUAAAUGAGUAAAUGAACCUUCACUUGGCUCCAAAAACAGGCCAAUCCCUAAUCCCAUUAUUGAUUAUAAUUACCUUGCCUAAAAUCACAACUCUGCAUUCAAAAUCUGAGGGAAAAAGUGCAUCAUUGUCAUUUACAUUUUUUAUUUUAUUGUUUUUACAGACUCACCAAGGUGAAUCUUUAUUUUAAAAGGGCCUAGGCUGCAGCGCAGUCGGGGCAGGCCACAUGAGGGAACCCCCCUAGAAUAAAACCUGGGAGGUGCUACUGACAUAGCAGCUCCAAGGCCCAUUUCAGUGAGGGUGAGGGCUGAAACUGAGGCAUCCUCUUCUGCAAGGCUUGCUGGGAAUGUUUGGUAUACAAAUAAGGGGUACAGAUCUAUCCAUUCCGGAUCAUAACCAUUCCGGCGCAUGCUUCCUUCUCAUAAAUGGAACAGUAUCUUCUGAAGUGACUGGGGUGGGGUAGGGUCACCAUGCUGCCUGACUGUCUGCACACAUGUUGGAGUGGAGAAUGGCAGCUUGACAGCCAGGGAAGACACUGACGCAAACUGUUCCAGUCCAUUAUGGUGCAAAGGGGUGCCAAAGGAAGCAAGGGGAGGGGCAGACAGCCCUGACAGGAUAAUAUGCUUAGUCUUGAUAUCAAUUAUCAGUCCUAUAUCUAGGGUAAUAUUAUUGUGUACCUCAGAGAUGGUCAGAUUUCCUCUUUGACCCUUACUGAGUGUGAACUCUCAUCAGGCCUUUAACUGUGGCCAUUUUGUUUUUGUUAUUCACAGACGACCAUGGCAUGGCUUUGAGUCUUUGAAAACAUAAGAAAUCAACUACAAUACAAAUUCUUUCUACUUCAGAGAAAUUUAUGAAAAUUACUGGAACAUACAAAUUUCAGAACAUAUGUUUCUGAUUAACUUUAUGUUUCUAACCAUUGUGCUGGGUAAAUAUUUCCAAACUGCAAGAGAUACUAGAUUCCUAAAACUUCAUCCAGUAGAGCCAGAAUUAACCCCAUGUAAGUGAACUGAUAAAGGGUUAUUAAUUUGGGGUAUAAUUUUUAAAAUUUUUAUUGGUACAUUUUGGGUAUACAAUAUAAUGACAUUCAUCAUUGGAAAUUUGUACCUUUUCAUAAUCUCUCUUGGUUCUUAUUUUUCCCCCUUCCCCUGCCCUCCCUUCAACCCCUCCAUCCCUCCCUAUUUACAAAGACUUUGUUUCCAUUUUUUCAUUUUCUCAUAUUAAUUCCAUUCCCUUCUUUCCUUUCCCCUACUCCUCCCACUUCCCCUUCCCCUUUGCCCCUUUUCUUCCUAUUUCACCUUAUCUAUUAUACCUUUUAGUCCUUAUUUACACUUUCAGUUUUUCACACCAGAGAAACUAUUCGGUAUUUACAUGUGUGUCCUGUUUAUUUUACUUAAGAGUAUCACCUCCACUCCACGUGCAUCUGUUUAGCUAUAAAUGUCUCUAAUUUCUCAUUCUUUAAGGCUGAGUAGUACUCCAUUUUAUAAAAGUUGCUCAUCAACUGGAUGGAGAAAUGUGGGUUUUUUAUAAAAUGGUAUAAAUUUUUUUUUAAAAAUUUGCUGAUUCUUCUGCUUGGCUUGCAAGAUUUAAGAAAAAAUUUCUUUUGGGUUACCUACACUUUAUAGCAAUUCAAGGCAUUUCUGACUCCAGCAUCCCUGAGGUGAGUAGUGAAAACCCGAGAUGCUAAGGCUCUCUUUCCCCUUAGGCUACUGAGACUCCUUCCUUACUCCCACUGCCGUGUGAUGCUCCAUGCCUGGGUGGUGGUGGUGGAGUCUAGUGAGAGACGCUGGUGCAGGGGCAACCACAUCCAUGUUGUUGCAGCGAAAGAGGAGCAGGUCAAAGCGGAUGAGGCUGGCAGUGGGGAUACAGGCACCCUCUCCUAUGGCCAGAGUGGGUGGCAGUACCUUCCUCUUCAUCCUGGUGGUGAUUACUAUAAUGCUCUGUUGGCUGAAGAGUCCCUUGAGAAGGGCUUGUGCUCCCCUACCAUGUAGAAGGUCCUCUACUUCACAUUAAAGCAAUAUGUCGCAGGAAAUAGAUAGCAAAUUCUAAUCCACACAUAGAACAGGGCAAGAAGCCUGAAGAUGACACACUUCUUCCUCAUGUGUAAGGGAGCAGAGCAAGCCUGGAGGGCUUCCUGGAGGUCUGAGUGAUGCUGGGCCUUGAGAGCUGGGCCAGACUGGGGCAGGUGAGUAUCAUAUAGCCAUAGUAGAAGUGAGCAUAGAGGAGUAGGGGCCUGAUUACUUGGGUUAUUUGGCAGUUCACACCUCCAUUCUCCCUCUCCUCCUCCCAGAUUAGCUGCUCCCUCUCACUAAUGCUGCCCCCCAUCUUCACCCAGCAUAAUGACUGUCUUGGAGGAUGGGUAGGGAGCAUUGGUGAUAGAACAAGGACAGCAGUCACAUUCCCCACAGCCUCCAGAGCCCUGGUGCCCUUGGGCAGCAGUCUCUGUGACCCCUCACUAUGGCCAGCAGCACAGCCCUGGCCUGUUUCCUUGGUGACUACUGGUACCUCAACACAACCCACUGGUGGUGACUCUCCUGGGGGAUGAGGGUUGGUGCUAAGGGAAUGGGGUUGUUUGUCCCCCAAAGCUGGUUCAUCCAUUUCAAAUCUGGAAGAUAUUCACGCUAGAAGACUCACCAUACUCCAGUACCUUUCCAAGUGCAAAAGACACCACAAGGCGAAGCUGGUCAUGUGCACACAAGACCUGUGCAAGUCCUUUACCUACUAGUACACUAAUUGCUGAGGGUGUGCGUUCUCCCAGGCUGAGAGCCAAGCUUCUGAUCCCAUAGUAGCUCCAGCUCCUGGAGUGAGUGGUGAGUGAGCCAUUAGCUGGCAUCCUUACAGACCCUUCCUGUAUAAGGUGGGGAGCAUGCAGUAGGUCAGUUGAGAGCCAUAUCAGCCUCCUGCCCCCAGGACAAGAUUCUAGAAGAAUCACUGUAUGCCUUCAGUGAGGAUCACCUUCACAUAGCUGGUGAAGGGCCUAGGUAGCAUCCUUAUCUUGAUGUCUAUGCAUAUGUGUCGUGGUCCUGGCUCUGACUUCCAUGUCACUGCCCUGUUUAUACCUGAGGUGGCUGUUUUAGCUUUGGGAGUGGGACAGAUCCUUCAGUGCAUAGCCUGAGUACAGCUGUGGAAGUAGAGGGUGGGAGAGCACAGAAUUGACCACCCCUGCUUCCUGCUGGCAGGAGUACGUGGACCAUUCAAUGCCCCUUGAGGAGUACUCUACAAGUUGCCAGGACACACUCAGCUCCUAUGACUGCUGCCCCUGGCCCUCCCCAAGAUUGGGGACCUUCAAUGCAAAAGGCCCCCACUAGUGUGAUACUAGACCCCAGCUUGUCCUGUUGAUGCUGGUAUGCUUUCGAUGGGGACCAAGACCCAUUGUGGAUGAGCAGGCAUGCAGGUAUAAUUUUAUAUCACAGUUAUGUGGGGAGCAACUCUCAGUCCCUUGGUUGCCUGUGCUACUGCAUGACCUCCUGACCAGUGCCAGGAGCGCCAAGGAGGGACUUUGUCCUGGACUGAACCAAAUGUGGAUGGUACCACACAGAGAGCUGCAGAGAAUAGGCCACUCUCUGGUGUCCAAGAUAGACCUCAGCCCCUCCACUGGCCAAAGCUCAGGAAAGACCCCAUGGGGCAAACCUGCCAAAGUGUCACUUUGUACCUGGAGGUGAAGUCACAGCUCCCCCACCUCCAGGGUUCCCUGUUCCCCCCCAUCAUGACUGAAAUUAUGGGCACCUGAAAGUAGGAUCCUUUAACUUUUAUUUAACAAGUUUAUUCCAGAAAUUAUUGUGUAUAAGUAGAUGCUAUGUAUCAGAUACAUUUGCAUACAUAUCUAUACCUAUAAAAAUAUCUACAGAGAAGAAGAAAAGGCUGGUACAGCUAAGACACAGGAGCCUGAGGGGACAGGAGGCUAGGUGCUGCCUUGGGAUAGGGAGGCCCCCAGUGAGGGACUUGCUGGUAAGACAGAUGUAAAACCAGAGGAGCAAUGGGUUUUUUUCUGGCACCACAGUUUUGUUUCAAAGUCUCUAACUGGCCUUGUGUAUUUGAGAGCUACUUCCUGGCCUCAUUUCAUCCCCGUAAUCAAAGCAUUUAUCCAGGGACAUGCCACAGUGUUUUAAAUUUUAUCUCAAUGACUGAGAAGUUUUUGAGGGAUUGCUGAAAAUAUUCAUCCAGCCAACACCCACAGGCCUUCAAGGUCCUUAGUGGUUUUAGAUGAUUCCAGUUAUAACAUUUUAUUUCUUUCCAGCUAGCUUUUUCAGAGAAACAUUAUGCACUCUGAAUUUUUCAGUACCAUAUUUCUUCUUUGGGACAGAAAAAACAGAGAAUACCUCAGAGGAAGGGGACAGGGACAAGCUAUGGUACCCAACAUUACACCUUCGAGACCCACUCAAACAUACCCAGAAGUGUGUUUUACUCAUCUGCUAGGCAUGUCUUAAUACAGUUAAAUUAAUCUCAAUUAACACUCACAAUUGUGUUGUACAUAAUCUCUCUGUUAACUGACCACAAAUUGGAUAUAUGUCCAGUAGUAAGAAAUUCUAGAUAAGUUUAGAAAAUAACAUACCUAAUGUUUCCCAUGCUUUAAUUCCUGCAAGGAACAUGAUGAGAAACAAAAAUGUCUUUAUAGGACGUUCAAAAUGGCAGAAUAGAUUCAGGUGCUGUGUUUCCCCGUUUGGAGUAAAAUGCAAUAGGGCUCAUUUUGGAAGGAUGUCUCUUCUAACAUCAUGCUAGAACUUGUUUUCCAGGUAAGUCAUAUUUUUGGGGAAAGAACAGUUAACAGCCUCUCCACAGCCUGAAAUCUAUUCAGUGAGAUAAAGAAAAGAACUCUGGGGAUCAAGAGAGAGGUAAAGCUACAACUCAUAAAUAAUAAGAAUGGCAACAUAGAGAAAAUAAUGAGUUAUAACAUCAACACUGGCUCCCAAGGUGGGGAGAGGAACCUGACUCUCCAACCACAAGGCAAUCCCAGAGAGGUCAGGAAGCUCCAGUGAUAAACAAUGAACCAGAAACAGGAUCUACAGAAAAAAACCUAUGAUUACAAUAAGCUGUAAAGCUGAUGAAGAAAUCUACAGUGAAAGUGACUCUUUGCACACAGCAGGCUAGCGUUAGAGAAGAAAUCCACUACAGUCCUUAAUGUAUUAUUUUGAAGUGGUGUAACUAGGAGCCAUGGUAAGGGGCUUACUUGAGACUGAGCAACCCUGAGGAUCAUAUAUCACCGAACAACCACACUUCGGGGUUCUUGGGGACACCCUGCCACUGUGACUGGGCAGGAGACAAACAGAAAAGACAGUCAUGGAAAGGGGGAGAAUUAGUUUCAGACUCCCUAAGAAGUUUAAGCAAUGUGGAGCUCCAUCUGUGUAGGGCUUGAUGGCUGGUAGCACUAUAUUAAAUGUUCUGAAGUGAAUUCAUUCCGGAGGAAUACAACACAUGAGUGGGAAAAGUGUGGCAGAACUCAGCAUUCACAUAGCAACAGCCUGUUUAUUGAGCUUGGAAACAAAACUUUGUUGCAGCUCAUUAUUCCUCAUUCAUCUCUGGUUGGUGAAAAGGAACUUUACCCAUCCACACAACUCAGUGUUGAGAAAAUUUGGGGACCAAUUUUCACUGUUUUUUCUGUUUUUACUCCUUUUUAUUUGUUUGUUAUUUUUUCUGUUACUUUUACAUGAUUUCAUUUAAUUUUAUUCUUUAAUGUGAGUUUUUGGUUUCACUUUUCUCCAACUGUUCCUUAUCUUCUUAAAAAAAAAAGCACAUCUUUCUCCUUCUUUCAUUUUUCCCCAUGCCCUGCCACUUUGUUAUCAUCAUCAUCAUCAUCAUUAUUAUUAUUAUUAAUCUUUACUAAUAUUUAGCUUUUUGUUUUCCCUUUAUCAUUUUUAGUUCUCUAUAUUAUGCCAUUUUGCUUUUCUUCUUUCAUUUCUAUUGUUGAUGAUGGAUUGGUUGUUGGUUUUAAUUUGUUUUUAUUUAAUUUCAGCAUCUGAUAUUUCUUCAUAUUGGCAUUAUUACUAUGGUUUGUUUUCUCCUCUCCUAGUUGUACUAGGAAUCAAGCCCUCAAGAAAGCUGAUCACAAAGAAGAAACUCACACAAAAGUGGGUAAUGCACAAAUAUCAAUAUAAAAAGAAGAAGGUGAUAAAAUAAGGCAACAUGACUCUUCCACAGGUGACUAAUUCAUAAGUAACAAUACAAAGAUAUCCAAAUGGAUAAAAAGGUGGACAAAAAUCAAAGAAUUAUUUUUAAAUGACCAAUAACUUUAAGGAGGGUUUAAAUAAACAGUUGAAUGAAUUAGGGAAGCUUAUGCAGGAGAUGGAGACACAAUUCAAUAAAAAGAUAGAGGUUCUAAAGAAGAGGAAAACAAAAAUCUUGGAAAUGAAAAGCUCACAAUCAAAUAAAAAACUAAAUGAGAUGCAAGCAAAGGACAGAAUUUCAGGGCUUAAGGAUAAAAGUGAUGAAUUAUCACAUCCAGAUACUAGUAAAGAAAAAAUAACAAGUUAUUAACAAAGCACCCAAAACCCUGGGACGUGGUUAAAAGACUGAAAUGAGGAAGGUGUUGAAGUUCACACUAAGUUCGUUGAACAGAAAAUCUAUUUCAAUGAAAUACUACAAAGUUCCCAAAUGUUGGAAAAGAUACUGACAUCCAUAUGUAGUAGGCAUUUAGAACCACAAAGAAGCAUGGCCAUAAAAUAAUUUCCACAAGUCACAUUAUUGUUAAAAUGCCAAGCAUAUAGAGCAGGUUAAGAAUAUUGAAAGGUGAAAGAGAGAAACUUAAAGUCACAUAUAGGGGCAGACCCAUUAGAAUAAUUGAAGACUUAUCUCCAGAAAGUAUAAAGGUCAGAAGAUCAUGAAAUGAUGUACUUCAAGCCUUGAAAGAAAGUAUCUACUAACAUAGAUUAUUAAAUUCAGCAGAUUUAUCUUUCAAGUUGAAGGAAAAAUAAAGAAUUUCCAUGAGAAUCAUAAACAAAAGAAAUUAAUGACCACUAAAACAUCAUUGCAGUAUAAACUUAAAGGAAUCCUACAUACUAAAGUGGAAAAGACAUCAGCUAUUGAGAAGAACGUCAAGCACUACAAUAAUAUAAUGAAAUAACUACUGCAUAUCUUUCAAUAAUAACUCUGAAUCUAAAUGGCCUUAUUUCUCCUAAAAGAAGUGGACUUGCAGCCUGGAUUAAAAGCAAGACUCAACUCUUUUUUGCCUUCAAGAAACACACCUCACUAAGAAAGAUAUGUAAAGUAAAAUCAAAAGGAAAGAAAACAAAGUUUUAUGAAAAUGGAAUCUGAAAAUAAGAGGAGUAGUUUUACUCAUAUAAAACAAAGGAGAAUUUAAGACAAAAUUAUUUAGAAGAGAAAAAGAAGGCCACAAUAUAUUGGUAAAAAAAUAAUCCACCGAGAAAAAUAGAAAACAUAUACACAUUGCAUAUUGGUGCAUCCAACUUAGUAAAUCAAAAUAUUUGAUGGAAAGGGACACAGCACCCAAUACAAUAAUAGUGGGUGACUAUAAAACUCAACUCUUGACAAGACAGGUCAACCAGACAAAAAACUAGCAAAGAAUCAUGAAUUGAACUGCACCUUAGACUGAACAGGAAUAUAAGGAAUAUUUCAUCCAACAACUAGAGAAAACACAAUUUUUAUAGGCACAUGAGUUGUUCCCCAAAAGACACCAUAUUUUAGUGUAUAGAGAAACUGUUAACAAAUCUAAAAUGUUUUAAAAAUUCUUAUAUCUUAUCCUAUCAUGAUAGAAUGAAACUGGAAAUUAACAGCAAGAGAAGCUACAGGAAUUGCACAAACACAUGGAGAUUGAAGGGUCUCUAUUUUUGAACAAUCAGUUGGUCAUUGAAGAAAUCAAUGGAGAAGUUUAAAAAUGCCUAGAAUCAAAUGACAAUGCAACCAAAUAACAAAUACAACCAGCAAUAACAAAAUAACAGUACAACCAACAAGAAUCUCUAGGCUAUAAAGGGAAUAAAAGGGAAAUUUCUACCUUUGAAUGGCUACAUCAAAUAAUCAGAAAGAUCUGAAAUAACUUAAUGAUGCAUCCCAAGGUCUUGGAAAGAAAGAACUAUCCAAAAUCAACCCCAACAAAAGGAAAAAAUUAGUAAAGUCAGGGAUAAAGUUGAUAUAAUGAAUACAAAAUGAACAGUACAAAGGAUAAAUGAGACAAAGUUACUUCUUUAAAAAGAUAAACAAUAUUCAAAAUCCUUUAUUUAAACUAACCAAUUAAAAGAAAAGACCAAAUCAAUACAAUCAAAUAAGAACAGGGGGAUUUAAAAAAAAAACACCACUGAAAAUCAGAGAAUCAAUAGGGAUAAUUUUGAAAAUUUAUGGAGAAUCUAGAAGAAUGAGGUAAAUUUCCACACAUAUACAAUCUACCAAAAUUAAAAUAAGAAUAUAUAAAACACUUAAACAGGUCAAUAGCAAGUCAGAAGGUUGAAGAAGUAAUAAAAAGUCUCCAAUAAAGAAUCUUAAGACCAGGCAAAUUCAGUGCUGAAUUUUAUCACACUUUUAAAGAAAUAUUACCACCAAUGCUUCCCAAAUCAUUUUAUAAAAUAUAAAGAGAAGGAAUGCUUCCAAACUCAUUCUAUAAGGCCAAUGUCACCAAGACCAGAAAAAGACACAAGAAAAAACAAUAUUAGUGAUUAAAUGUAGAUGUAAAAAGCCUUAAUAGAUUACUUGUAAACAGAAUUCAGCAAUCCAUUAAAAAGAUCUACUUGGUCUAUUUUCAGAGAUUCAAGAAUAGUUCAACAUAUGCAAAUUAAUAAAUGUUUUGCAUAACAUAAAGAGAAUCAAGGAUAAAAAUCACAUGAUCAUUUUUUUGAGGCAGAAAAAACUUCAACAAAGUUCAAUAUCCCUUCAAUGACAAAAGCCCUGAAAAUCUAGAUCUUGAAGCAGUAUACCUUAAUAUGGUAAAGGUUAUACAAAAAAUGUACAAGCAUCAUACUGUAUGUAUAAAACUGACAGCAUUUUCUCUAAAAUCAGUAAUGAGACACAAAUGUCCACUGUCUCCCCUCUUAUUCAAUGUAUUACUUGAAAUUUUAGUCAUAUCAGUUAGGCAAGAAAAAGAAAUAAAAUGGGCACGAAUAGGAGAGGAAUGAGGCAAAUUAUCUUUAGUUGCUGAUAAUACGAUUCUAUACUUAAAAGAUACUAAAUACUCCAUCAAAAGAAUUUCCAAACUGAUAAAUUCAGGAAAGUAGUAGGAUAUAGAAUCAAUAAUAGAAGAUAGAUUGCUUUUGUGUACACCAAUAAUAAACACAUUGAGAAAAUAAUCAGUAAAUACAAUUCCAUUCACAAAUGCUUCACAAAACACCUACAAAUCAACCUAACUACAAAGAUGAGAGACAUCUGCAAUAAAAAUUUAAGAAUUCAGAAUAAAAGAAUUGAAAAGAACACUGGAUGAUGGAAAGAUCUCCCAUAUCCAUGAAUCAGAAGAAUUAAUAUUAACAUGGCCAUAUCAGAAACAAUGAUCUACAGAAUCAAUGUAGUUCACAUCAGAAUUCUGAUGGCAUCCUUCACAGAACAACAAAAAUCCCAAAAUUCAGUAAAAACACAAAAGACCCAAAAUAGCCAAAUAAAUCAUAAACAAAAAAGAGAAAAGUUGGAGGCAUCACAAUUUCUGAUUUCAAAUUAUACUUCAAAGUCAUACUAACAAAACAUCAUGGUACUUGAACCAAAAAACGACAUGUACAUUAAUGGAAUAGAAUAGAGGAUACAGAAACAAACUCAUGCAACUACAGCCAUCUGAUUCUUGACAUGAGUCAACAUCAUACUCUGCCUCUUUAGCAAAUUCUCCUGGGAAAACUGGACAUUCACAAGGCAAGACUGAAACUAGGUCUGCAUCUAAAUGUAUCAAAGACCUAAGUAGAAGACCUGAAACUUUCAAGUUGCUAAAGAAAAUAUAGGAGAACUUCUUGAAGUCCUAGGCACAGGCAAAAAUGUCCUGAAUAGGACUUCAACAGCACAGAAAAUAUGAUCAAGAAUCAACAAAUGAGACUACAUCAAGUUUAUGGUUCUACACAGCAAAAGAAACAGUCAACAGAGUGAAGAGACAUUUUACAGAAUAGGAGAAAAUCUUGGCCAGCUAUUCUUUUGACAGAUGAUAAAUAUCUACAAUGUAUAAGGAACUAAAGAGUUUAACAUAAAAGGAAGAAAAAGGAAAGGAGAAGGAAAAGGAAGAGGAGGAAGAAAAGAGGGAGGGGAAAUAGCUUGAUAAAUAAAUGAAUUAAAAGUCACUUCUCAGAAGAAGCACAAAUGGACAAUGAGUAUAUAAAAAUUUGUUGAACAUUUUUAGCCAUUAGUCAAAUGCAAAACAAAAAAUUACAUUGGAAUUCCAUCUCACCCAAGUUAGAAUGGUUAUCCUCAAGAGUACAAAAAACAAUAAAUACUGAAAGGAUAUGGAGGGAAAGAGCUCUUCUAAUAUGCUGAUGGGAAUGUAAAUUAGUCAAACCACUAUGGGAAAUCAAUGUGCUCCUAAAAGAAUAUAACUAACAUAUGACUACAUUCUUUGGUACAUAUCUGAAAGUGUUAAAAAGUCAGCAUAUUAUAAAGAUACUUACAUACCCAUAUUUAUUGAAGCACAAUUCACAAUAGCCAAGACAAGGAACCAGCCUAGAUUUCCAUUAAUGGGUGAAUGGAAAAAGAAAGUGUGAUAUGUACACACAAAGGAGUACUGUUCAACUGUGGUGAAGAACAUAUUAUGUUAUUUUCAGGAAAAUGAAUAGAAACAGAGAUAAUCAUAUCAAAUGAAAUAAGCCAGACGCAGAAAUACAAGUGUCGUAUUUUCCCUAACAUAUGAAUCUAAAAUAAAAAUGGCAUGAAAGUAGAAGUGAGAUUAUUAGACAAGGGGAAGGGAAUAAAGCAAAGUUUGGAAGACAUAAGGAAGUUAAUAGAGGAGAUGGAUAUUAUCAAAAUGUGUUAGAUCCGUGAAUGAAAACACCACAUCAAAACCUAAUAUGUGUAAAAUUAAUAGAUACUAAUAAAAUAUAUUUUAAUACUGGAAAAAACUAAUAUCUAGAAUAUAUAAAAAAUUCAAAGAUUAGCCCCCCACCAAAACAACCCAUUCAAACUAUGGACAAGUAAAAUGAAUAGACACUUCUCAAAAGAGGAAAUACGAAUGGCCAAUACUUACAUGGAAAAAUGUUCAGCACCUUUGGCCAUUAAAGAAAUGCAAAUGAAAACAACCCUGAGAUUCUAUCUUACUCAAGUCAGAAUGGCUAUCAUCAAGAACAUAAAAACCAACAAAUAUUGACAAAGAUGUGAGAAAAAAGGAUACUGUUGGUGGGAAUGCAUUCUUAAAAAAAAAAAAAAACCAACCCUAGACCUAAAAGUAUUAUUCCAUUUGACCCAGGUAUACCUCUCCUGGGUGUAUUCCCAAAAGCGUUAAAGUCAUUGUACUUAUAUAUAGAGAUACCUAUGUAUCUAUGUUUAUAGAAGUUCAAUUCACAAUAUAGCUAAACUAUGGAAAUAGCCUGGAUUUCUUAUAAACACACAAGUGAAUAAAGAAAAUGUAGUAUAUAUAUGUGGAGCUUCUCAUCACACUCAGUGGGUUAAUGUUUGCUCGGGUUGACGGGGGGUGGGGUGGGGGGAUGGGUGCUACUAACUCCAAAGAGCCAGAACAUCUUGAAGUUGGGAUGUUUUCCCAACUCCAGCAGAAAUGGGCCUUGUAGGGAAAACAAGGAAGCUCCCUUGGGGACAAUCAGAUAAAAGUUAAUAAUUCACCCAAAUGGUCACUAUGCCUUGCUAACCUAAAACAAACCUCUGCACUGAGCAGAAGGCUAUGCCUUUGUUGUUCCUCGAUCAAUCUGGACCUUGAGUCAAUUUGGGGCUUCAUUUCAGUGAAGUUCCCUGACCCUCCAUAAAGAUAUUCUCUGUCUCUCAUGUGUUUCAUUUGUCUCUCUGUCAGAGUUUGCUGCCCUGAACCUGGCAUAUAUACAAAAUGGAAUUUUACUCAGCCAUAAAGAAAAAUGAAUUCAUGUCAUUUGUUGGAAAGUGGAUGGAAUUUGAAAUUAUAUUAAGUGAAAUAAAUCAGACAUAGAAGGUUAACUAUCACAUGGCUUCUCUUCUAUGAGAAACUCUAACUCUAAGAGUGAAAUAAAGGAGAGAUGGUAGGCAGCUUGGAGGCAGACUCCUUGGAGAUGGGAAAAGGGAUUCGAGGAAAGGAGAAAUGCAAGGAGAAAGGAAAAGGGAAUCAAAACUGAUCAAGAAAUUCCCCCAAACAAAUGUUAAUUAUUAUGUAUCACAGGCAUAUCCAAAUAAAACUAUGUGUAUUUAAAUGGGGAAUAUUGUGAAUUACUGGAGUCUUAAGAGUCUUGAUCUGCUUUGUGUUUUGAACCCCUGUCAGUAUAGGGCCAACAGAGGGCAUUCUGAAUGACAGAUCUUUAGGAAACACUGUUUUCACACAUUUUCAAUACCCCUCCACAUACUGUCCAUAAAAGGUAAAUUUGAAGAAUUUUAAGAAAUCUUUAAAAUGCAAUAUUGGACACUUAAGUAACCUAAAAUUUCCCAUGGAGGCACACACUAUGGACAAUGAACCUUUUAAGAAUAAUAUUCAAAUUCAUUAUUCUUACAUUCUUCUCUACAGUGUUCUUAAUGGAACAUUGUAGAAUAUUUGUAAGAAACUUUAUAUACUGAUUUGGAAAUUGAAGUAAACUUAAGGGUGUAAGGCUGGCAUUAAGUUUCAUUCCACUGAAAAACUAUGGAUGAUGAAUUUUUUUCAGUACCAGGGAUUGAACUCUGAACCUUGAGCUUGCGAGGCAGGUGGCUGAACCACUGAGCUAAAUCCCAAUGAUUAAUUUUUUUAAGAACCAUGAUCUGAUCCAUAUUUUCCAUUCCCUUAUGCAUAGUGCCCAUAAAGUUCCUAUGUCCAUAGUAAUGAGAAACCUUUGCUAAGAAGUUAGAAACUGACAUAAUCUAAAGUUUCUCAAGGUAACAUGGCUGAAAUUCAUAGAAAUUACACUGUGGAUGAUGGAUACUAAGAAUCAUGUUGUGAUACAUUAUUUCUACACACUUCUGUUAUAGUGCCUAUGAAGGGUAAAUCAUGCAGUAUAAGAAACAGUUGCAUGCCAUGCUACUUUUGGAGAAGAAAUACACUUCAGGACCUACUUUAUCCUGGCAUAUUAUAAUCAGGAGCUAUCUUGAGAGGGACCUGAUUGUUUGAAACUUAGUCACUCUAGGAAUCAGAAGUCACAGAACAAGAACAGUUUAGGUUUCAUGGGGAUACUCUGCCAUCAAGACUGUAGGGGAGACAGCCACAAGUGACAGUCAACAGUCUUGGUGAGAAGGAAAUUUAAUCACAAAUCUGAGAAAUCUCAGAAGCAGGGAGCUCAGGCUGGGGAAUGUUUGGUGGGUGGCAGCAUCAUCUUUGUGCUGAAGAGUCAGAGGCCCAUUGCCUGUGGUUUGGUGAAGGGGCUUAGCUUGAAAGUGGCAGGAUUGACUGUAGCUUGCUUGGUUCCAGUGACAUUUCCCUUCACCAGAAAAUGCAGUGGCAUUUGCUUUUCCCACUCUCUGAUUACUUGGUAUGGUCCUGGGUUUACAAAUCUCAGGAGAGCUCUGGAGCAAGUAGGACAGCUAACCAACCUACAUUCCUCAAGACAGUUGGGAAUAGCAGUGGCUCCAGAUGCACAUAACGAAACAAAUAAACAACAAAAAGCCCCUGGGGUGAAUACAGCCCUAAGAUAGACAAGGUAGCGUUGAAUAGCCUCCCUCAGCAGGCAGUGUAGCACCAGCUUGUUAAGUGGGAGUGGAGAAAAAUUACAACGGCCCCAAGUGUGACUCACUAGUUCUCCGCAAUACGUGGUACAUUCAGGUACUGGGAAGUAACAAUCCAAAUACCUUGGGGGUUUUUUGGACUAAUUUUCUUUUCUGUUUGUUGUUUCCCACUAUAGCUUUUAUCUAAUUUUAUUGUUUUUAUUCUUUAAUUGGACUUUUUUCAAAGGCAGUAUCUAUUGGAAACAGCAAUCCUUGCUGCAGUGAGUUUAUAUACAUUAAGGAGUAAGUUUACCUUUUAUUCCACAUGAUCCAUGAGCACACGUGGCACAUUGGAACAGCACAUUAAACCUCACAGAGUCUAUACAGCUAGAUAAAUAAAACUCUGGAUACAAAAUAGGACUUUUAUGACAUAGAAAACAAUGCUGUACACACAAAAUGAAGGUGGGACAGAAAGAACAAAUGAAAAUUUAACAACUAAACUGAGAAGUUCUGCAUCAUACCUUAAACUUCAAAGCACAGAAAUCAUCUACAUUUGGUCCACAUUGAAGGCAGAAUAUGCACAAAAUGAUAUUCAAGGAAGAUUGGAUUUUUAAUCUCCACUCUUUUUGCCUUCUCUUUAUCGUCUCAUGUUUGUUUUCCUUUAUAAAAUCUUGUUUAAUCUUUACAACCAGCUCUAUAGAAGCAGGCUACAGCCUUGAGGGGAAAAUUUUUUGGCAGCUCCAAAUCUAUACUGCUGUUGUAUCAGUCUAUCAGAGUCCUAGCCCAGCACCUCAACACUACCACUUUCACCAUGGCCUAUUUGAGACUCCCAGAAAUUAUGUCAUAGGCACAAAGUAUCAAUAUCAUACUGUUACAGGAAGUAAUACUGGAGAUGAAAUGUGAAAUAUUAUAUCUCCCAACCUGCUCACUGUACAGUAUGCUUAGGUCUUCUCUAGAAAUCAAAGAAUGAGUCCUAGAAACAACUGAGGUGAAGAGUAGGAAGAUACUUAUUGAUAGGAAAGGUCCUGAGGGGCAGGAGAGGAUCCAAGUGGGGAGUGGGUAGCCGGGGGACCCACUUUGCAAAGGAGUUUUCUAGGGUGAAACCCAGGUGGGUACAAUGUGGGCCACACCCAUGAACAUCCAAUCAGGUCACAAAUAUAGUCACUGAGAUAAUAGUGGUCCAGUUGAGAAGCAAGUUAUGUAACAAGCAUGGAUGGAAAGAACAAUGAUUUUCUGGUCACCCAUGGGGGUGGCUGAUGUCUAUCUAGACUUCAUUAGGCCCAGUGUUUGUUGUUUGAGGAAGUAUGUAGGUCUGAUCAUCUUGUCUUUAUCUUGAGGCCCAGUUUCCAAUGGCUGCAGCUGUGGUGUGUUUCACCUCUGUCCUAAUUCCUUCAAGGACCUAGCCCUAUCUGACUGCUUAUAAUAUUUCUACCUAGCUAAUCUAUCUAUACUAAUACCCCCCAAAAGGGGGAUCAUUAUGUCAAAAUGUGUGUCUAAGGAGGAAAAUAAAAGGUGCAUUAUUCUAGCUAAAUAUAGAAUCGAAAGAAGUUGAAGUCAUAGAUGUGGAGAGUAGCAAGGGAGGUGGUUAUUAGGGGCUUUAAUCAUGAUUGUCAGCUAGACUGGUUUUUGAGAUGCCUGAGGGAUUAGUAAAGCACCCUUCUGAAUGUACCUUGGGAAAUCAUGGUGGCAUUAUCUUGGGGGCUGUAUUUAUUUGGCCAUUUUUCUUGGGUGCUUUUCCCCUAUGCUCUGCUUCUUGUCUGCCAUGAAGUGAGCAGCUUUGCUCCGAUAUAUCCCUCUGUCAUGAUGUUUCUGCCUUGUGGCCAGCCAAGCAUGGACCGAAUCCUUGGAAACUGUGCAUCAAAAUAAUCCACUCCUCCUUUAGUUAGAGAUGUUAGAUAUUUUGUCUCCGUCAUGGAAAAACUGAUCAAUGCAGAAUAUUGGAACCAAAAGUGAGGUCAUUGCUUUGACUCCACAAUAGCAGAGUAUGGAUUUGGAGCUGCCAAAUAAUUUCCCUGUCAAGGCUGUGGUCUGCUUCUAUAGAGGUGGUUUCAAGCCUCCUGAUCAUUAAACAGCUGGAGGACAAGCUUCCUUCUGAGGAAAGUCAGAAAAGUGAAUCUUAGUGGGGCAGAAAUGCAUCUCUGUUCUUGGAUCCUUGUGGUGAACUUUCCACUGGGCACCUUCAUCCAGCUCAGUACCUGGCCAGCCCAGCUCUCUUGAUAACUGCUAAAUUCCCAUCAAAAUGAAGUGACAGUGGGUUUUGAUUUCUUUAUUUCUCAUGCACUGGGACUGGCAAUCAUAAAAGUUCUCAUUCACAGAAAUCAGCCACAUUCUGUAGUGCAUUAUCAUGAGGGUAAAUCCUCUAAAGUGAUAAAAUUUGCAUUGGGUAUGUUUACUUGGCAGUUGUGAGGACACAUUUGUCAUCAGCACCCAGCAGUAACAGAGAGGUAGUGUUUUUUCAUUCUAGCCACAUGAGCCCCAAAUGUUUUUCAGUUUGGUGGAAUCACUUUUUUAACUUAAGUACAUUGAAAUGGAGAUCCCAAGAACCCACACUCCCUAUUUGGCCCUGGGCUGCCUCUUUAGAAUAUUAGUCACCAAAAUUGAUGGCAGAUCUAUAAUUGGCACAGCAGAUUAUGUCUGGGUUCUGCUAUAUUUAUUCAGUAAGUGUUCCAUAAAAUCACAUUAUAUAAUCAAAACAUGAUCUUAAUAAAUCAUGGUGCAUGAAAUCUACCAUCAGUAUUGGGAAGUCAUUUCUGAAGGAAGGAGUUUGCCGAUUUCCCAAAAUUGGGCCUUGCUUGGCACCAUCCAGGGCUGCUCUUCAGUCCCUGGAGUGGCUGAGAGCUGUUCAGGCACACAGUUUGGCCCAGGGUAUUCUGGGAUUGACUUGAGUUGGGAAAUAUUCUUUUAAUAUCCUUUGUUGUCAAGCUCUCGACCCUGCUCCAAAAUAUAUCCAUUCUUCCCAACUUCCUUUCCCCAUUGCUCAUGCUUUUAUUCAAAUAUAGAACCCAAUUAUUGCAGUAGCUUCUUCACUAAUCACACUUCAAGAUAUUUUAUUUGCUCUAACUUAUCAUACACUCAUGAUGCUGCACGUUACACCUCCCCAGAUCUUCCCUAAUCAUUCGCUAGUCCAAACACCUUCUGUCAAUGAAACCUAACACACACUCUUUUCCACUUUCUUGUAUCCAUCAUAUCAGUCUGUGGGGACAAGUCAGAGCUCUCCCUUGUCCUCUGCCUAUGUGUUAAAUUUAGCUAACUGAGAAGCUUGAAGAAUCCAGUAAGAAAGAGUGACAGGAGAUAAUGAGAACAGAAUAUUCAUUUUCCUGUUGCUUUUCUUUGGCUCAUCACAGGCCAGUUGUAUUCUGCAACAAAGAUCACAGCUCCUUUAAAGGAUUCUGGGAAGGUGAGGCAAGAGAAUUGCAAUUUUGAGUCUGCCUGAGCAACUUGGUUACUUAGACACUGUGUUAAAAAUUAAAAAAUAAAUAAAGGGCUGGGGAUGUAGCUCAGUGCAUAAACUUUGUGUUCAAUCCCCAAUCUGAGAGAGAGAGAGAGAGAGACAGAGAGACAGAGAGAGAGGAGGAGGAGGAGGAGGAGAAGGAGAAGGAGGAGAAGGAGAAGGAGAAGAAGAGAAGAAGAAGGAGAAGAAGAGAAGAAAAGAAAAGAAAAGAAUGAGACCUCAUGGCCUUCUUUCCAUGAUAUUCUCCUUCUGGUUCUAGAAAUAACUCCCUCUUAAAUCCCUUUGGGACCAAGUGUGACACAACACACAGAUUACAGCACUAUUCAUGGAACUGCUGAACAUACCCUUAUUAAUAGGCCUUCAAUAACUCAACAUCUUUUCAUUCUAAUUAUAUUUUAUCAUUCCCUGGCCAUCUCUCAACUGAAACACUUUUCUAUAACCAUUCAGGGCUUCACUUUAUAAGACAGAAUUUCAUUCACCAUUCUUACCAAUACGUAUCAUUUUCACAGUUUACUCUCUGCAACAUCGUUUGAUAUUCUUCUUUAAUAUCUACUCCUUUCUACAUUAGGGUAAAUAUGUUUUAUGUAUGUUUUAAAAAGAAAUUCUGUAACUAUCAUAAACAAAAAACUAGCUUCAUUAUCCAUAAAUAAAAUAUAACUAGAAGCAUAAAUAUAAAACACACAAAGCUGUGUUAGUGAGUUUUUUGUUUUGUUGCACUGAGCUUUAAAUCUGAGAACUCUACCCCUGCUUGGUUGAAAAACAAAAAGGAGAUAUUAUUAAAUAUUAAAACAGUAUUAAAAGCAUCCUCCUUGGUAUAAUGAAAGGCAGGCAGUGAAUCAUAAAACAAGAAAGUUACCUGUUUUUCAUUUCUGUGCUCUCUUCUGAUGUGUUUGUAACUUUGCAAAAGUUGUAUCACAUCCCACUAGUGAUCUGCUCUUCAUGCUCAGAGACACUGCCUCGCCGGAUAAAAUAUAGUUCAUCAGGUAUUGAGUGUUCUUCUCUGAGGAAGGCAAGACUAGUAAAGGCAUUGGAAGUCCUGCUCUGACUGCAGCCACUUUUUCCACCUUCCUCUUCUGCCAACCCUCUGGGCAUCCUAUUUCAGCUGAAUUAAAUUAAAUGACAGUCUCCAUAUCUUCCUUUUGCUUUCAUGAUUCUUAUCUGCCCACAAUGAUGUUCUACUACUACUUAUCCUAUGAGGCCCUCCUAGGCAUCACCUUCUCCACCCAGCUUCCUUUGCUCAUGAUCUGCCUGUCCUGUGCUCACAAAUCUGUUGGUCAUCCCACCAUCCUGCAGUGUAAGUCCUCCUGCUAUGGCCUGGAACUUCUCUUUGCUUACAUCUCUCUCUUACUAUGCCAUGAUCCUAUAGCCCAGUGUAAAAACAAUAAGGACAGUUUAAAAUUGAGUAAAUUGAAACACUCACUCACUAGUAAAUUCUGCCUUACUCAGUGUACAGAAUUAACAACUUAGAUCUCUGCCUGAGUUUUCCAGCACAAUCAACUUCUGAGAUCCUUCUCUGCCCUUCAAAACUUGUAGAAUGCUCUAGUUUAUAUUUUGGCAAGUGUCCUGUUAUUAUUUAAAGGAAAACCAGGCAAAAAGAAAAACCAAUGAAUAAAGCCUGAAGAAGGAACUACUAUAGCUGAGAUUUAUUUUUAUAGCAAUGAUGUUCCAUAUAAAUGUAAUUAUUGCACAUUUUCUUCAGCUUUGGGCCUCAGGACUGCCACCAAUUCAUGAAAAACUUACCACUCACAAAUCUACUAUGUGUAGUGGACUCUGGAUAUUUGUCUGGGCUCAGCCCCUUAAUAAUUAUAUGAUCCUGCUCUAUUUUUUUGGCUUUGCUGUCCUCUGCCUCCAUGAAUUGUUACCUUUGCCACCUUGUGUGCACCAUGUUGUUUCUGCUCUGCCAUGUCUGUUUGUCACCCCUGCCUUGGAGUCGGCUGAUUAUAGACUGAAACCUCUCCAAACUGUAAGCCAAAUAAACCCUUUCUCUUCUAACUUUGGUCUUGGGUAUUUUGUCUCACCAAUGAGAGAAAGUAAUUAACACAGAAAUUUGGUACCAGGGAAGUGGGGUCAUUGCUGUGACAUUACCUGACCAUGUGGCUCAGAAGUCUUUAGAACUGCCUUGUGAGAAGGGAAAGAGGAAAGAUCCGGAGAUGCUGGUUACAGAAGUAGCAUUGGAAUGCCUUAGGCUGUUUUGUAUGGGAGAUUCUAGUUAGAGCUCAGAAGACCAGAAAUAUGGUAAAGACCAGGCUCAGGAGAUUUCUGCCAGGAAAAAGGACUACAUUUUGGGUUGGACUCCUGAUGAUGUGCGUUAUGGCUUGGAAGAAAGUUUGUCUGCAUUUUGUUCUUCUCUAGAGACUUUGCCUAAGACUGAGAUUAGGGGCGGUGGACUAAUUAAUCUUGCAGAAGAAAUUUCAAGGCAGUUGAAUAUUGAGUCAGUGGCAUGGCUACUUUUGAGAGCUUUUAGCCAGAUCUAUGUUGAGAAUCAAGAGCAUAAAGUCCAGAAGAAUGAUUUAAAAUAUUUUGAGUUUGUCGAGGAAGGAAGUUCCAUUAAAGCUAUGAACUCCAAAGAUAGAGCAGAGGAGAUCUUGCUUUAUGAGAAGGAGCAGGAGAAUAGAAAAGAUGGCCUAAGAGGAUCACAGGAAGCAGAAGGAUUGCAUUCUUUGCAGCUUCAGAGUUGUAAAGGUAAAAAAUUUUGCUGGGAGAAGAAAGCCCCAGAGCACCAUGUUCCAGAAUGGUGGUAGCCUAGGGAAGUUGCUCCAAAAUGGCGGCUUAGGGAAGUUGUUCCUCAGGAGUUGAUUCAUAGGCUUUGGACCCCUACAGCCAAGAGAGAGGAAAGACUGGCUACUACUGCUCCAGCUGGCAGCAGACCUUGGCAUCAUCGAUGUGGCACUAGUUUUAGGCGCAAGUAGAAUGCAAGAGUUGUGGGGUGAGGAAGGCUUCCACCCAGAUUUCAGAAGAAGGCCUGGAAGGCCAAGCAGUGUGCUCCUGAGAGCACAAUAUGUGAAACUGUGAGUGUGAACCCAAAGGUGCAUUGGAGACCCCAGAAAUUUGGAGAAACCAGGAGCAUGGAUCAUCUGAGGAAAGCUACAAGGAGGGAGCAGAGCCAGUCCAAGAAAGAAGCUGUAAGAGCUACAACCACCGAAAGUGCCAUAGGGGCAGAGCCACCAAAACCCUUUGGAGUUCACAACUUGCCAGAUUGCCUCAGAUGCUGGAAGUGGAACUGUAAUGCCUGCCCUGCUGGAUUUUGGACUUACUUUGGUCCUAUGCCUUUGUACCUUCCUAUUUGCACCUUUUGGAAUAGAAAUGUCUAUCCUGUGCCAUUGGAUGUUGGAUGUGUUUGACUUCUCAUUUCUACAGGGGUGUGCAGCUAAGAGUUUGCCUUAAAACUCAUGGGAGACUUUGGAUUUGGACUUUUCAGCAGUGCUGAAACUAUUAGGACUUUGGCAACUCUCAGAGACGGACUUUUGUGUAAAGGAAUGUACAUGAAUCUUUGAGGGGCUAGGGGAGGAAUGUUAUGGUUUGGGUCUAAAUGUUCUCCCAAAGCCUCAUGUAGUCAUAGGCUUAAUCUAGAGUGUGUGAAGCUGGAACUGAUUUAUGGUGCAGUGCUAGGCUCAAGGGCACUAGGAUUAAGGGUGUGAAUGCUGCCCUCCCUAAGUAGUCUGAGUAAGGUAAAAGGGGCAGGGAGACACUGUUAAACUCUUUUGUUUUGCUUUUGCUGACUUCCACUGCCAUGAACUGAAGCUUGUUCUUGUCACCUUUGCCACCUUGUGCACGCCAUGCUGUUUCUGCUCUGUCAUGCCUGUUUGUCAUCCCUGCCUUGGAGUUGGCCGAUUAUGGACUAAAACCUCUACAAAGCAAAUAAUCCCCUUCCCUUCUAAAAACAAAAAUAAUAAUAAUUAUAUGAUCCUUAGAAAGUUCCUUAAAAUCUGGAUCUCAAUUUUUUUCAAUUAGAAAAUGGGCUUAAUAAAAGCAUCUAUGUGUUUAGAGCAGUGUCUGGCCCAUGGUAUGCAUUUUUUGUUGGCUAUUAUCAAUUUAAAAAGGAGGAGGAAUAGAAAGCAAAGAAAGAAGGUCCAACAAGUACCCAUGUCUCCAAAGCUUCCCUUGGUCAGUUUAUGUCUACCCAGAAGAAGACUCCUAACCUGUCAGGGUUUAUCUCCUAAAAAAACAGAGAACCCCUGAGGACCCUAUAAAUCCGUGGAGGUUAGAUGACACAGCAGUUUGGGAACAUCACCUGUAGACGUCAGUCUCCUUUGUUAUAGGUCAAAUCAAGGGAGGCAAAAAAGUAGUUUUGGGAGCAAACAACCCCAGAUGAGUACAACUUUAUGUGAUGAUGUAAAUGGAGCAGUUCCUCUGACUGCAUCUCAAAUGAAGCACAGCAACAUACUCACCUUGCCUCUGGGGAAAGGAUCAUUCUUCAGGAAUCAAAGGCUCUCCUUUCUGACAUCACUGGGGUAAAUUAAAGGGAUCAGUGGGCACCUUAAUAUGUUAAUCUGGUAACCUAAGAAUUCUUUCAACUGUGUGUCAUCCACUCUUCUCAUUUUGUUUCAGCAUCUGCACAUUAUUAAACCUGUUGCAUCCUGAUUAGAUCUUUGUGUAGGUGUAUGUGUGUUGCUAUGGAAAGGCACACAGAUACUGGUUAAUAUUGAAAAAAAAAGGUAUAGAAUAGCGUGUUCUAAAUUAUCCUGUUAAAUGGAUGCACGUUGAGGCAAUACUCUUAAGUGAAAUAAAUAGGACACACACGUGUAAAUACCGAAUAGUUUCUCUAGUGUGAGAAACUGAAAGUGUAAAUAAGGACUAAAAGGUAUAAUAGGUAAUGUGAAAUAGGAAGAAAAGGGGCAAAGG